Molecule: ribosomal RNA, 190 nt
Filed under: uncultured bacterium
Lineage: Bacteria
Description: partial 16S ribosomal RNA
Rfam family: Bacterial small subunit ribosomal RNA
Source: RNAcentral
UUCGCCUUCAUGAAGCUGGAAUUGCUAGUAAUGGCAGGUCAGCAUACUGCCGUGAAUACGUUCCCGGGCCUUGUACACACCGCCCGUCACACCAUGAGAGCCGGUAAUACCCGAAGUCAGUAUCCUAACCGCAAGGAGGGAGCUGCCGAAGGUAGGAUUGGCGAUUGGGGUGAAGUCGUAACAAGGUAUC